GUCAAGGUUCGCUAUAGACGCGAUUAAAAAGGGAACGGAGUGUAAAUCUCCGACUGUCUCGCAGCUGUGAGUUCCUUUAUCGCCGGUAGACAAGCAACCACUGAAGAACACAUUAACAUGCUAAGAACGUUAAUGACAACAAUGCUCUUUGGGAAGGAGUUUGCCGACGGAACGAAGUCAGAAGACCUGCCUUUGCAUA
This 199-nucleotide non-coding RNA is filed under the name uncultured Prevotella sp. The record is from RNAcentral. Lineage: Bacteria; Pseudomonadati; Bacteroidota; Bacteroidia; Bacteroidales; Prevotellaceae.